Molecule: transfer RNA, 74 nt
Filed under: Aeolothrips indicus
Lineage: Eukaryota; Metazoa; Arthropoda; Insecta; Thysanoptera; Aeolothripidae
Description: tRNA-Arg
Source: RNAcentral
AAGAUGAUAGUAUACAAUAAAAAAAUAAUGCAUCUAGUUUCGACCUAGAAAAUGUAGUUCUCCUACUCAUCUUA